Molecule: ribosomal RNA, 432 nt
Filed under: Triticum aestivum (bread wheat)
Lineage: Eukaryota; Viridiplantae; Streptophyta; Magnoliopsida; Poales; Poaceae
Description: partial small subunit ribosomal RNA
Source: RNAcentral
AUUUGGGGAUAGAGGGACUUGAACCCUCACAACUUAUAAAGUCGACGGAUUUUCCUUUUACUAGAAAUUUCAUUGUUGUCAGUAUUGACAUGUAGAAUGGGACUCUCUCUUUGUCCUCGUCCGAUUAAUCCACUUUUUUAAAGAUCUCGAAAACUUUGAAUUUGAAUUGAAGAAUUUGAUUAUUCAAUAUUCGAUUGGAGUGGAUUCACAAUAAUGAAAAAAAAUUAUGAUAUGAGUUUUUAUGAGUUUUUUAUUUCAUAAUCAUUAUCAUUUCUAAUUUCAUUUUUAAAAAAGAUAAAGAACCUAUAUUAUAAUUAUAAUAUAAUAUGAGUUCUGUGAUUAAUCGUUUGCUAUGUCAGUAUCUAUACGUGUUUAUUAAAUGUAUAAGGUAUAAAACCCCUCUUUCUCUAAUUUAGAAUUAGAAGGAAUUCC